AAAUAUUCAACUAUUAUCCUCACACCCACAAGAAGGUUCAAGAUAAACACAUAUUACACCACAAUGAAAAUAUUUUUAUAAACAUGCACAUACAUUGAACGCAAGUUAACAAACAAAUUAACCUAGAGAAAGCAUAGUUUUGACCAUCUUAACAAUCAUCUAGAACACACAAGUCACAAAAAGAUAAGGACUAUUGGUUACUAUGAGAGACUUCAGAUGGUCCAGAACACACAAGUUCGUAUCUACAUGCACAAAGUGCAAGCUCCAAAACACUCGAAACACCAAAUGGUCUACAAGACAAUAAGGUCCAUGAUUACAGGUUGGUUGGUCCAUAAACGCUAGAGAGUCAUCAUGUCCAUGUGCAUUAAUAGGUUGAGUACCUGAAAACAUUUUGCACAAAUUUGUCAAGAAAGUGGAACCAGAUCAAGUUGUUAAAAUCUCAUAUGCGUAUUAAAAAUAUUCGAUCAAAAGAUUAUCAUGAUAUCAUAGUUAACAAUAUAGUUUCUAUAAAAGUUACCCACUUGUUAUAGCAGAAGUUUUGUCACUUUAUAUUAAACAAUCUUAAAAGUG
Molecule: long non-coding RNA, 570 nt
Filed under: Hordeum vulgare
Lineage: Eukaryota; Viridiplantae; Streptophyta; Magnoliopsida; Poales; Poaceae
Description: long non-coding RNA (HVUL_LNC010145)
Source: RNAcentral